UGGGGAAUCUUCCACAAUGGGCGAAAGCCUGAUGGAGCAACGCCGCGUGAGUGAUGAAGGCCUUCGGGUUGUAAAGCUCUGUUAUUCGGGACGAAAGAGCGCAUGGCUAAUAUCCAUGCGAAGUGACGGUACCGAAAGAGAAAGCCACGGCUAACUACGUGCCAACAGCCGCGGUAAUACGUAGGUGGCAAGCGUUGUCCGGAAUAUUGGGCGUAAAGCGCGCGCAGGCGGCCUUUUAAGUCCAUCUUAAAAGCGUGGGGCUCAACCCCAUGAGGGGAUGGAAACUGGGAGGCUGGAGUAUCGGA
Molecule: ribosomal RNA, 305 nt
Filed under: uncultured bacterium
Lineage: Bacteria
Description: partial 16S ribosomal RNA
Rfam family: Bacterial small subunit ribosomal RNA
Source: RNAcentral